AGAAGAAAUCAUUAUCCCCUAGAGCAGCCUUUCCCUCCCAGGGCUGCAGGCACCAGGCAAUCUUCUCCUAGAGGCUUUGUCUGAUUGCUUGUCACCCCAACACCUAGGGGUUAAGGAAGCAUACAUCACACCACCUUGCGAUGAGAGAGAGACUCCUUUGAAUAAAGGACCUAAAUGCGACCAGGGUGUGACUUUCCCCGAGGAGCAAUCCUAGAAGUUCUAAGGAACCCAGAUGGGGUUCAAAGGGUAAAUCCACAAGAGCAGCCAGCGCCUGUGGCUCCAGCAAUUUUGUGGGGAUGACUCAUCAAUCAGGCCAAUGGCCAACAGCAACACAGGACCAGAACUGCCCGUCACUCAGCAGAGAACAGACAAAGGACCAGGGACUCCAGCUUAUGACUGCAGAACCUGGUAUCUGAUCACAUGGAAACACAAGAAAGAGAUUUUUUAAAUGUUUUAUAAUUAAACCUGUUACACCCUCUCAUGAAAAGGCUGUGAUUUGUUACGCUGGGGCAGCAGGUCACUCUCUGGUGAUUUGGUACAUGUGAUAUAGGACCAGUCAAAUUUGGAUUCAGGGUUUUCUAAACACCAUGCUCUUCCUGGGACAGGGUUCACUGUGGCUAAGGCAACUCCUGGGGACUGAUGGACAGAGGGGCUGAGCAGGCAGAGGAGCUCUGAGAAAGUUCUGUGCUCUCUAGCGACCCCUUCUGGCCACCUUGGAGGCUCUCUUCUCUGCACCAAGGGAAACACCUGUGAAAAUAAUCAGGGCUGGGCAGGUAGGUGGACCCUUGAGGAAAAUCCCCAUUACCUCAGAUCACAUGUUGCCCACGUCAUCUGGGAUGUGGGUAAAAGCAGGCCGGAGGAAGGCCCCUGCACAAGCAUUGCCCUCAAUGCCACUGUUUCCUUGGGUAGCCCUAAUACUAACCUGCCCUAUUUAGUAACCAUGGAAACAGAAGCUGCCUGCUAGCCAUAUUUCACAGACACAUGCUUCCUAUAGGCAACAGUCCUUGGGCUGAGAGGGUCUGAAAGCGAGUACGGAGUCCCUUUCCCAAAGUGCCCCAGUCCCUACUAGAAGAUCAGGUUACCAGUGAGGUAGACAUGCUUUCUGAUGUGGCACGAGGGGAGAGGUCUGUGAGAAAGAUGUGCCUACCAGGUAUCUGCUUUUCCCUGUUUCAGGGCAGUCAGGAAAACAGGGCUGCCCACGCCCCCUGUUUCCCUUCCCAAAGCCAGCCCAGAAUUAAAGCAUUGAACUCUACAUGCACUGAGGUGUUCUUGGUCAUUGUCAAGUAUUAGAGGGCACUACUCCAAGGCUGCAAGGCCUGGCUCGUCCUUGCCCACAGAGACUCACUUGGAAGGUCAGUCAAAGG
This is a long non-coding RNA of Hipposideros armiger (great roundleaf bat), 1364 nucleotides long. RefSeq lists it as uncharacterized. The transcript has 3 exons. NCBI's taxonomy places the organism in Eukaryota, Metazoa, Chordata, Mammalia, Chiroptera, Hipposideridae. The record is from RefSeq and is a predicted model, not a curated record.